Molecule: ribosomal RNA, 292 nt
Filed under: uncultured bacterium
Lineage: Bacteria
Description: partial 16S ribosomal RNA
Rfam family: Bacterial small subunit ribosomal RNA
Source: RNAcentral
GUGUCAGCCGCCGCGGUAAGACGUAGGGCGCGAGCGUUGUCCGGAUUUAUUGGGCGUAAAGAGCUCGUAGGCGGCUUGUUGCGUCGGCUGUGAAAACCCAUGGCUCAACCGUGGGCUUGCAGCCGAUACGGGCAGGCUAGAGUUCGGUAGGGGAGACUGGAAUUCCUGGUGUAGCGGUGAAAUGCGCAGAUAUCAGGAGGAACACCGGUGGCGAAGGCGGGUCUCUGGGCCGAUACUGACGCUGAGGAGCGAAAGCGUGGGGAGCGAACAGGAUUAGAUACCCGGGUAGUCC